Molecule: ribosomal RNA, 481 nt
Filed under: uncultured bacterium
Lineage: Bacteria
Description: partial 16S ribosomal RNA
Rfam family: Bacterial small subunit ribosomal RNA
Source: RNAcentral
GAUGAACGCUGGCGGCGUGCUUAACACAUGCAAGUCGAACGAAGCAUUUAAGACAGAUUCCUUCGGUUUGAAGUCUUUUAUGACUGAGUGGCGGACGGGUGAGUAACGCGUGGGUAACCUGCCUCAUACAGGGGGAUAGCAGCUGGAAACGGCUGGUAAUACCGCAUAAGCGCACAGUACCACAUGGUACAGUGUGAAAAACUCCGGUGGUAUGAGAUGGACCCGCGUCUGAUUAGCUAGUUGGCGGGGUAACGGCCCACCAAGGCGACGAUCAGUAGCCGACCGGAGAGGGUGACCGGCCACAUUGGGACUGAGACACGGCCCAGACUCCUACGGGAGGCAGCAGUGGGGAAUAUUGCACAAUGGAGGAAACUCUGAUGCAGCGACGCCGCGUGAGUGAAGAAGUAGUUCGCUAUGUAAAGCUCUAUCAGCAGGGAAGAUAGUGACGGUACCUGACGAAGAAGCUCCGGCUAAAUACGUG